AAACACAACAAUAGGGUUAGGGUGGCAUAUCAAGAAAAACAAACAGGGAAGGGGAGGAGGCGGGACCACAAAGUUCAUGGGGGACAGACCAGGGUGGGUGGGUGGGGUAGGAGUCUUAGGAGGACGGGACGAAGGCUGACAACGAGGGGUUCGGGCAGGUCUGGGUGGUCUAGGGUGGGGAGUGGUCUCAGGACCAUUUACAACAGAGGACAUGACAGGAGAACUCACGUGACACGGGGAAACACCUACGGGACACGGGGAAACAUCAACAGGACACAUGACAACAUCAGCUGGACAUGGGGCAACGCUCACGGGACACGGGGCAACGUUCACAGGACACGGGGCAAGAUCAGGGGAGACAGAAACUGGACACAUGACAACAUCAGCUGGACAUGGGGCAACGCUCACGGGACACGGGGCAACGUUCACAGGACACGGGGCAAGAUCAGGGGAGACAGAAACUGGGUCAGGAGUAGCACUAACUGUGGUUGGCUCGGGAUCUCUGGGGACAGGGUCAGGGGACAAGACAGGACUGGCGGGGAUUUCCAGGAUCUGGACAAGACGGGACAAAUAAUCAGACAAGGCUUUGGCGGCUAUAAUAACCGGCAUCUCCUUACGAGACGAGACAGACUGUAUCAAAGUUUCUGCUGCAGAGUCGGCCGCGGCUCUCUCCUCCGCCCUCACGACAGCAGACUUGAAACCUGUUCUCUUAUUCACUGGCUCGGGCACGCCAGCGCUCUCCGCUGCUGGCUCGGGCACGCCAGCGCUCUCCGCUGCUCGCUCGGGCACGCCAGCGCUCUCCGCUGCUCGCUCGGGCACGCCAGCGCUCUCCGCUGCUCGCUCGGGCACGCCAGCGCUCUCCGCUGCUCGCUCGGGCACGCCAGCGCUCUCCGCUGCUGGCUCAGGAGGAGACAGGGUCACAGGACCGGCAGGCCCCUUCUUCCUCUUCCUCCUUGGCCGCGGUGCAGAGGUCACAGCUGGAACCGAGACGGGUUGGGGGAGUUUGGCCUCAGGCAGGGCAGACUCUGACGCCGACGACUCUGAAGCUGACUCCCACGACAAUCGUCUCCCUCGCUUUCUGGGGAGACUGUUGGCUGUGGAAGGCGCCUCAGGACUCUGGGGGGAAUCUGCCUGUUCCCCCAGUGUUGUGACGGCCAGGAGACCACCCUCUGGGAUCACUGGCAGCUGGGUUGAUGGUGGGGACCUCUGGGGGGAGGCCUGCAGCUCCUCCUGGGAGAACUUCUCCCACAGCCGGGCAUAAUUGUGAAGGAUCCACUCACCCUCGGGAGAGUAUGGGAGGGUGAUCCCCUUCCUGUCAGUGGGGGAUGACUUCCAGCAUUGCUGGCGGAACUCCCACUGGUGUAGUGGGCUGGAGGACCUUCUGUCUGCUGAGGUCUUUGGUCGGUUCAUUCUGUUAUGGGUUGGUAAGGGAGGAACUCAAGUGCAGACAGGAUUCUCAACACAAAGGGUUUAUUGAUGACAAAAGGGGAAAACAAAACCCACGAGGGGGAAAACAAUAGCUAGGGUAAGGACUAAAUAACCAAACAAGACAGGGCUGACCAGAUAAAGACACUAAACACUAACUAUAAACAAACACUCACGGUAUUACAAAGACUUCUUCAGGAAUGACAAGGAUAAACUCACGAGGCUGACAGGUAGCAACAUAUAUGAGGAACAGUUUGAGGAAACAAUCACAAUGAACCGACCAAAAACAGAGCACACUAGGAGAUCUAAAUAGGGGAACUAAUCAAGACACGACAGGUGGCACAGAUAGGACAAUCACGACAAGACUAGGAUAACAAGGGGGGCGGGGCAAGGGAACGAGACAACACAAGCACAUGGCCCAAAGAUAAGGCCAUGUGCUUGUACACAAAACACGGGUCUGUCAUGAUCCUGCCUCUAGACUAGAGAAAAGUCAGGACAUGAUGGCAGGACCAUGACAAUAACAGCUUAAAACCUGUAUUAAACAAUUAUAUUACCUUAUUAUCCUGGCAGUACUUUUGAAAAACAACACUUAAACACACAUACACACACACAAACACACACACACACACACACACACACACACACACACACACACACACACACACACACAUAUAUAUAUAUAUAUAUAUAUAUAUAUAUAUAUAUAUAUAUAUAUAUAUAUAUAUAUAUAUAUAUUAUUGUGGCACUUUUGAAGAAAAACAAUAAAAUCCAAAUUAUUUAUUUAUUUAUUUAUUAUUUAUUUUGAAGAAAAUAUAAAAUUUUUGUAGUAUAUUUGAAGAAAUUUUUUUUUUUAAUUUUUGAUCUUCAUUGAUUCUUGUAGUGCUUCUGAAAAUAUAUAUAUAUAUAUAUAUAUAUAUAUAUAUAUAUAUAUAUAUAUAUAUAUAUAUAUAUAUUAUUUUUCUAUCUUAUUUAUUCCUGUAGUGCUUUUAAUGAAAACUCAUACUAUUUUUUAUUGUAUUGUAUUGUUUUAUUUAUUUAAUUUUUCUGUGUGUUCAAUAACACUGCAAAUAAUAUUCAGUGCAAUCAGUAUUUUUAAAUAUAUUUUUUCCCCCCAAUGAAAUAGUACCUUUAAAACACAACCUAAAAACAAGAUGAAUUUACUCAAGAUGCAAAAUCAUUCAUGAAUUAGACUAGUCUCAUUCUAUAUUUGGCCUUGUCAAAAAUGCACUUGAAAGUGAUGAAAAUAAUUAAUUUCCAGUGUCUUCUACAGACAAAGUGUGUCAUUUCUGCACCAUUAGGGCCACUAAAAGAAUUAGCAAAACAAUGACUAAUUUCAAACAGGUUUCCUGGACACACCCCUCCCCCAUCUGCAAUUGGCUGGUUAAACAGAUGGCCCCACUCCAAACUUAUUACUGACUCGACAUAUUAAACUGGGAUAGGAGAAAAUGUUUUAACAUCAAAAAAAUGACACACUUUUUCACUCAAAUGAGGAUUUCCAGCUCUAACCCCAAAAGUGCCAUCAGGAAGACCGCCAUGACAACUUCCUGUCCGGAGAGAGAGGAAAAAGUGGUCACGGAGAGGGAGUUAGUGAAAGAAAUAGAGACGAGAGAAAGAAAGAAAGAGGAAGAAAGACACUGAAAGAAAGAGCGGCUGUGGCUGACGAGCGAAAUGCAGAGAGAGGGAGACAUAAAUCCUGUGUCCUAUAUAAAAAGAAAUACUAUCCAUGUCAAGGAAAGGUGGGAUGCCCUAAAAUGAAUGAUAACAGACUCAUUAAAAAUAACGGCCACCUAAAUGAUAAAUGACCUGCCUCCUGAGAAGAGCAGCGCAAGGCGGCCUCUACAAAUUAAGACCGCAGUGCUGUUAAAGGUGUUAUUUUCCCAGUACUUCCAGCACCAAAAUAUCAAGCAGCCACACCAUUAUUUGCUCUUUAUUACUGCCCAGCGACAGGACCUUUGGAGAUUUAAGGCGAGCCUGUACAUUAUCAGCCUCUGUUAUUUUGUUAAUUAUCCUGAUUCGUGAUUUAUGACAUGGUACGGCUUAAUUAAAAAGUGAAAUUGCAUCAAAUUAUAGGGGUUUUAUAGGGACUGGGGCCAGAGCAAGCAUUUGCAAGUGAUGCUUUUAUAUAAAGGAGUAUUCAGUGCAUUGUAGGAGAGAAUCAUCGGAGAUUAAGGUUGACUAUGCUGUGUAUCACAGGUGAAAGUAAAAAGUAUAAGGAAAGAAGACAAUUCAAGUCAGAGUUAUCUUGGUAUGAGAUCUGAUUAUAUUUUUGGUAAUAUUUUGAAUAUUCUGAAUUUGAUUUCCAUUUUCAAAGUUUUAGAAAUUUUGUUUGUCAUUUGGUAAUUUUUAGUAUAUAGUUUUUAUUAAUUUUUAUUUCAGUUUUAGUUAUUUUAGAAUUUAGAAAUGUUGCCUUGGCAACUAGCCAAAAUAUGUAUUUUUUUUUUUUUAAAUAUUUAAUUUAAUUUAAGUUAACAUUUGUUUUAUUUCAAGUAAUGCAAAAAUGUAAUGUUUUAAUUUCAGUUUCAGUUGUACUUUGCAUUUUUGAAAAGUUUUGCGAAACAACAUUCCAACACACAGAUCCGCCAAAAAAGGCUAAAAAUGCUUUACUAUGCAUUUCAGGUCAGUAGGUGGCAAUGUCAAUUUAUAAAGAAACACUAAACACCUGCACACAUACCUAUAAACUGAACACGUAAUGCAUGUGCAUGACGUCACUGGUUUCGCAAAUUUAUUUAUUUAUUUAUUUUUGAAGUUUACACAUAGACGAUAAUGGUAUUGCUUUCAAAAAAUUGCACUUUGAAACAGGUUUUUAAAUGCUUUUUCAGGCCCCCAAAACGCCAUUGUUUUGUAAAUGCACGUCCAAAACACAUAAAACAUUUUCAGUUUUUAGUUGAAAAUGGUGUCAUGUAAACACCCUCUUAGUUACCUAUAGUAACCCUGUAUAGCAUACGGAGUGAAAAGUGUUAAAUUGUUAAUUUACCCACAAAAGUCAUUAAUUUAUUCAUCUAUAUGUGGUUCUAAACUUGUUUGAUUUAUGUGUUGACAUGAAAAAAAAAAAAAAAGACUAAAACUUAAUAAAAGUAGUUCAUAUGAAUUGUGUAUGACUUUCCAAGGGGUUCUGCUUUGUGUGAGGAAACAACCAACAUGUGCUUGGUAUGUCAAACCUGGCACGCAGAGUAAAUGGGAUUUGGAAGAGGGGAGUGUUUUAUUAUACAUUAUUUUGGAUUUUUCUCAUUCUAACCUAUGGUAUAGCUUCAAAACACUACACAUUUAUACAAAUACAUUACACACAUAAAAAUAAAGGUUCUUUAUUGGCAUCGAUGGUUCCAUGAAGAAUAUUUUAACAUCUAUGGAACCUUUUUAUUCCACAAAAAGUUCUUUAUAAUGGAAAAAGGUUCUUUAGAUUAUUAAAAUGUUCUUUAGACUGAUUCUGUUGUUCUGCUGUUCCCUUUUGCAACCUUUAUUUUUCAGAGUGUUGAUUUGGAAUGUGCUUCUAAAUGUCUCCUGAUAAUCAAAGAUGAUUUAGACAGAUAUACAGAUCACAUUUAUUCAUCAAAAUACAUUUCUGCUUUUAAAACUUCUCAUACCCCUGACAUCUAACUUUCAGUGUAAGUGCAUUACUGUGAACUUGUUUUCUGUCCAUUUAUAUAAACAGAGGGAUGAGUCGAAAUGGGUUGCUUACGUAAUCGACAGCAUACCACAGAUAAUGUAGAGCUUAAGUUGUAUUUAACAUAAAAUGAGCCUUUAUAAAUCCACUGGUUUUUCAAGAUUCCUUUCUUGCCGUUUCUAGAACACUAUAACCGUAAACAUGUCCCUGAAUGAUCCCAUAAUUCAUUAGUGAUGAUUUGAUCGCUCAUGUAAGUAAUUAAGUUAAUACUUGAUGAUGACUGUGACACACCCACAUUCAGAAGAAGAGCAUCUCAAAUCCACCCGUUCAUGUCAAAUUGGUGUUUCAUAAAAGAAAAUGAGUCACGGUGUCUGAUUCUCACAAUUGCUUUUGAAUUUACAAAAUUACAAAUUAAUUCACCUUUGAUUUCAUGUCACGUCAAGAUCUUAAAUGCAGAAAACAAUUUACUUAAUCAUUAUUUUGUUAUUGUUUUCCAGUAAAAAUAUCCUUAAAACAAGAAAUAUUUUAUUUUCUGAUGCAAAAUUCAAUAAGAUGAUAAGGAAAUUAUAAUCCAUGUAUAUAAAUAUCCAAUCUAAAAAUCUAUUUUCUAAAACAAAUUGUAUGAAAUUUACCUUAUUUCUUACCAUAAUAAGUUAAAGUUUGAAGCAUACUGUACAUUUUUCCAGUUUUGAAAGGGCAACUUCCAAUUUCCACUUCCAUUCGAUCAUCUCUUUAUUAAAACCAGACAUUAAAAUACAUUAUUAAAUUUAAAUUUAAAUUGUGUGUGUGUGUUCUAAAUAUAGACAUAAAACAUAAUUUAUAAAAUACCAUUUUA
Molecule: long non-coding RNA, 5861 nt
Organism: Cyprinus carpio carpio
Lineage: Eukaryota; Metazoa; Chordata; Actinopteri; Cypriniformes; Cyprinidae
Source: Ensembl